Molecule: long non-coding RNA, 1132 nt
Filed under: Homo sapiens (human)
Lineage: Eukaryota; Metazoa; Chordata; Mammalia; Primates; Hominidae
Description: HSALNT0208593
Source: RNAcentral
GAGGCAUGCCAGACGAGAUCAGAAUCUGCAAACUGUGAUGUGAGACUGAGAGUGUAAAAGAACCACACUUGGAUAUCCUCUCAAAUAUGCAUUCUAAGGCUGAUGUCAGUAAGAGACAGGGUCUCACUUUUUGAACUCCUAGCUUCAAGUAAUCCUCCCACCACAGCUUCCCAAAGUGGUGGGAUUACAGGCACGGGCCACCGCUCCCAGCUUAUAUAGACUCUUUUACCCCUAUAUGAUGUACAUUUAAUAUUGCCAACUUCUGAAAUGUAUACAAAUGGUAUCAUACUAGAUAUGCCCUAAUAUGAUUUGUUUUUUAUCAUUUAACAUUGUAUUUCUAAGAUUCAUCCAUGUUAUUGUACACUGUUCAUUUAUUUUCACAGUCAGAGUUCUUUAUCACAUGAAUAUUUUAUAAUUAUUCUCCUUGCUGGACAUAUGUUUUAUAAUUGUUGCUGCUGAAAAUAUGGCCACUAUGCAUAUUCUUAUUUGUUUCUUGGCACCUAGUACCAAAGACAUAUCUAAGACCUAUGAGACUAGGUCAGGGCAUAUGUGUAUUUUCAGCUUUACUAGAUAAUUCCAUGAUUUUGUAUGAAUUUACUCUCCCAAGAGCAGUAUUUAAGAGUUUCUAUUGAUUCUCAUUCUUACCAACUUUUGUUACUCAUUUAAAAAAGAAAAAGUUGUGAGCUUAUGUGAGAGAGUAUCCCAUUGUGGUUUCAGUUUUCAGGUCCAUGAUUGGUAAUGAGUUUGAGCAGCUUUUAAUGCUUAUUGACUAUAUUUUUUUCCUUCUGUGGGAAAUAUUUGAGCUAUAUGUUUUGCCCUUUAUUUGGAGAUUGUUUUUCAUUUUUAAUGUUUGUAGAAUUUCUUUAUAUGUUCUGGACAUGAAACUUUUGGUAGGGGUUGUGUUGUAAAUAUAGUCUCCUAGGUUGCAUAUGUACAACUUUGUUUCCUUUGAGAAUCAGAAAGUCUUAAUCUUAUUAUACCUAAAUUUUUGGAUUUUUUCUUUUGUGGUUUACAUUUUUGCUGAAGGAAUCCUUCUCUUUCUUGAAAAGAUAAAGGUAAUGUUCUUUACUUUUUCAAAAAUUUUACCUUUUAAAGUAUUUAAUCCAUUAUGUACAUCUCAUUCAAGAAAUGU